GAUGAACGCUAGCGACAGGCCUAACACAUGCAAGUCGAGGGGCAGCAUGGUAUCAGCUUGCUGAUACCGAUGGCGACCGGCGCACGGGUGAGUAACGCGUAUGUAAUCUGCCUGUAACAGAGGGAUAACCCGGAGAAAUCCGGCCUAAUACCUCAUAGCACAUAUUAUUCGCAUGAGUUUUAUGUUAAAGAGACUCGGUUACAGAUGAACAUGCGUUCCAUUAGCUGGUUGGCGGGGUAACGGCCCACCAAGGCAACGAUGGAUAGGGGUUCUGAGAGGAAGGUCCCCCANACUGGUACUGAGACACGGACCAGACUCCUACGGGAGGCAGCAGUGAGGAAUAUUGGUCCAAUGGGCGAGAGCCUUGAACCAGCCAAGUUCGCGUGAGGAAGACUUGCCCUACGGGUUGUAAACUUCUUUAUACGGGAAUAAAGUGAGGGCCACGUGUGCCUUUUGUUAUGUACCGUAU
Molecule: ribosomal RNA, 469 nt
Filed under: uncultured bacterium
Lineage: Bacteria
Description: bacterial SSU rRNA
Rfam family: Bacterial small subunit ribosomal RNA
Source: RNAcentral